Molecule: ribosomal RNA, 253 nt
Filed under: uncultured bacterium
Lineage: Bacteria
Description: partial 16S ribosomal RNA
Rfam family: Bacterial small subunit ribosomal RNA
Source: RNAcentral
UACAGAGGUCUCAAGCGCUGUUCGGAUUCAUUGGGCGUAAAGGGUGCGUAGGCGGCGCGGUAAGUCGGGUGUGAAAUCUCGGGGCUUAACUCCGAAACUGCAUUCGAUACUGCCGUGCUUGAGGACUGGAGAGGAGACUGGAAUUUACGGUGUAGCGGUGAAAUGCGUAGAUAUCGGGAGGAACACCAGUGGCGAAGGCGGUUGCCUGGAGCUUUGCUGACGCUGAUGCGCGAAAGCGUGGGGAGCGAUCCGG